Xenia sp. Carnegie-2017 is the source of this 212-nucleotide long non-coding RNA. RefSeq lists it as uncharacterized. NCBI's taxonomy places the organism in Eukaryota, Metazoa, Cnidaria, Anthozoa, Malacalcyonacea, Xeniidae. The record is from RefSeq and is a predicted model, not a curated record. The transcript has 2 exons.
GAUGAAUUACAGAAUCUCUUGUCUUUGUGAGCAAUGGAACAAUGUUCUUCAAUUUGGCAUUAAAUCCACAAAAAAGAUAAAUUCUUUAAGGCAGGUGUUAAUGAGAUCUGAAGGUCAAUCUGUGUUCUGGCUAUUUAUCAAGGAACAUCUUAGCUCUAGUGAAAUAAAGACAUAUAAUUCUUUACAUAAUGUAAUGACAGAUGUUGGUAGAG